UCAAAUUUGUGGUUUCUUGGUCA
This 23-nucleotide non-coding RNA is filed under the name Arabidopsis thaliana (thale cress). Lineage: Eukaryota; Viridiplantae; Streptophyta; Magnoliopsida; Brassicales; Brassicaceae. The record is from RNAcentral.